RNAcentral lists this ribosomal RNA (676 nucleotides) under uncultured bacterium. RNAcentral's name for it is "bacterial SSU rRNA". It matches the Rfam family "Bacterial small subunit ribosomal RNA", at positions 153 to 845 of the family's 1533-position model. The record is from RNAcentral.
GAAACGACUGCUAAUACCGCAUAAGCCCACGGCUCGGCAUCGAGCAGAGGGAAAAGGAGCAAUCCGCUUUGAGAUGGCCUCGCGUCCGAUUAGCUAGUUGGUGAGGUAACGGCCCACCAAGGCGACGAUCGGUAGCCGGACUGAGAGGUUGAACGGCCACAUUGGGACUGAGACACGGCCCAGACUCCUACGGGAGGCAGCAGUGGGGAAUAUUGCACAAUGGGGGAAACCCUGAUGCAGCGACGCCGCGUGGAGGAAGAAGGUCUUCGGAUUGUAAACUCCUGUUGUUGAGGAAGAUAAUGACGGUACUCAACAAGGAAGUGACGGCUAACUACGUGCCAGCAGCCGCGGUAAAACGUAGGUCACAAGCGUUGUCCGGAAUUACUGGGUGUAAAGGGAGCGCAGGCGGGAGAACAAGUUGGAAGUGAAAUCCAUGGGCUCAACCCAUGAACUGCUUUCAAAACUGUUUUUCUUGAGUAGUGCAGAGGUAGGCGGAAUUCCCAGUGUAGCGGUGGAAUGCGUAGAUAUCGGGAGGAACACCAGUGGCGAAGGCGGCCUACUGGGCACCAACUGACGCUGAGGCUCGAAAGUGUGGGUAGCAAACAGGAUUAGAUACCCUGGUAGUCCACACCGUAAACGAUGAUUACUAGGUGUUGGAGGAUUGACCCCUUCAGUG